UUGAUUGGGUAAAAACGUAAUCUUUAUUGUGAAGGUUGUAGAAACAGCAUGUAGUGGUGUAGUGUUAGCACGAAUGUAGAAAGGUUUUGUCCACCUCAUGGCCCACUGUGAGUUGUUAACAAUACGUUGACUGAGUAUUGAUUUUAAUUUUUAGACGCAACGCUGGUCAAAUCAAAAGCAUUGUUGGCAAUACGUUGGCAUAAUGCGUAUUUUGCUAGGUCGGCCUUUACUCUAAACGCAGUUGCUCCAUUUGCAGCUCCAAUUCAGUUGCGCCAGCUAACGCAAAAUGUGUUUUGUCUAAAUGUAAGUCCGAUACAGUUGUGCCAACUAAAAAAAAUGCAGUUGACCCAAUGGUGGCUGCUUGGGCCGGUAUAUACGUAAAUGCUGAUAGGGAAGCAUUUGUGUUGACUAAAAGAAAACUGUUUUAAGAAGCGUUGAACACCAAAGAAUUUGUAUAAAUGAAAAAUGAACAAGUUAAGGGACUAUUGAACGUUUCAAAACAUGCCAUGGUACCUUUGACUUGCUACAUUCAAUGACCUUAACAGUUAUUCAAGAAUACCGUAGCAAAAAAAGAUAGGGAACCCUUUGAAAUUAAGAGGGUAAUAUAUCACGACGUUAGAA
Non-coding RNA from Hydra vulgaris (swiftwater hydra), 621 nucleotides. NCBI's taxonomy places the organism in Eukaryota, Metazoa, Cnidaria, Hydrozoa, Anthoathecata, Hydridae. The record is from RefSeq and is a predicted model, not a curated record.